AAAAGAAGGCAGCAGCCCAGGAUCGUGAGUUUUCAAAGCAUUCCAUUUUCUGUUCCCUCCCGUUCAUGAAAGCAACGUCCAGAAGACAAGAGAUGUCCAGUUCCCCUUCCACUUCUGCCAUGUUAUGAUACAGCAUGAGGCCCUCACCCAGAAGCUGACCAAAAGCAGCUGCCUGAUCUUGGACUUCCUGCCUCCAGAACU
This is a long non-coding RNA of Pan troglodytes (chimpanzee), 201 nucleotides long. RefSeq lists it as uncharacterized. Lineage: Eukaryota; Metazoa; Chordata; Mammalia; Primates; Hominidae. The transcript is spliced from 2 exons. The record is from RefSeq and is a predicted model, not a curated record.